UUUCAAACAAACCACCAGUGAACGUCUGUCUAUAAGUGAGGAGGAGCAGGACAUGGAUGCUUCAAUUGCUCUGAGUGCAGACCAUGGAUGUCUGCGGUGGACAAGAAAAGAGGCGCUCUGCUGGAUGGAGGCCAUGCAGAGGUGGUGUGAGGGAUCAGAUAUUGCCCAAGGGGGUCCACCAACGCAUCAUCCCCCAGCGAUGAGUAAGAUGAGAGGAGAGAGGCAAUGA
Molecule: long non-coding RNA, 229 nt
Filed under: Betta splendens (Siamese fighting fish)
Lineage: Eukaryota; Metazoa; Chordata; Actinopteri; Anabantiformes; Osphronemidae
Description: lncRNA (ENSBSLG00000022421.1)
Source: RNAcentral